This is a long non-coding RNA of Hydractinia symbiolongicarpus, 3128 nucleotides long. RefSeq lists it as uncharacterized. The transcript is spliced from 2 exons. Lineage: Eukaryota; Metazoa; Cnidaria; Hydrozoa; Anthoathecata; Hydractiniidae. The record is from RefSeq and is a predicted model, not a curated record.
CUUGUUGAUAUUACAGAAGAAAUCAAAAAAGCAAUAGAGACGGGGGGAGAAUUAUCUUGUUGAUAUUACAGAAGAAAUCAAAAAAGCAAUAGAGACAGAAACAAUUUUGCAUGUGGAGGAAGACUUCUUCAGUACAAAAAAUCUCAAAUGGCAUGUUGCAAAAGCAAGGAUCUUUAAUGAUUAAGUUUUCAUAAUUUUAUGUCCGCAAAUAAAAUAUGUUUGUCCUUCUUCCUGAAAAGGGCAAAUAUUUCUGUAUCAGAAAAAUUUUCCACAACAGGAAAUUUUUUCUUCCUCUAGCUAUUAGGUAGGUCUUGUUUUUCCUUCCCCGAUUGGGGAAGGAAAAACAAGAAAUUUAGAUAGAUAGAGAGGGGCCAUGGCGUAGAUGGAGAGUCCUAGAGUAUUUAAUGCUCAUUUUGAGCUACACAGACCCAAUUAGAGCCCGCGCUCUACUAGACAACUCCCGGCAACAUCCAACGGCCCACACAGUGUGCCAUCUUCCCAAUUUCCCUCACAUGGCUUGGGUUAACCCGGGGCUAUGGUAACAUUCACUCGCCCAUGUUGAAUCGCCGUCAAGAGGAAUCGAACCCCGGUCUCCCGCACAGAGUACAAGAGCUAUAACCACUAAUCUACGGCGCCACCAAUUUCAUAGACCAUUUUGGAGAUUAUGCGCCAUUAUGGAUUUUCGAAGCCCGGUGGUGCAAGUUGAACUUUGGACUUCACGUUUUGUUCAGUCUUUUCCCUAACGGACGUGCUGGCGGCAGGACAGUUUUGAUUUUUGUUAUCUGUUUUUAUGUUUGUGAUACUAAUUUUAUGAUAUAUAUUAUGAAAGAUGCUUUUAUUAUGCACUUAUUUGUACUUUUAAUUUCUUUUUGUACAAUAAAGGCAACUUAAUAUAUCCUAAAAAUCUUUUAACUAGCUAGCUAGCUAGAGGUCUCCCAAAAAUGCUUUUAGGACACUGUACUGUAGGUAGCUAUAAGUCUGUAAUUAGUAAUUAAUGCUUGAUUAAAGGUAAUUUCAUUUUAUAUUUAGAUAUUUAAAAUUGUAUAUUUUAAAGAUAUUGGCAUUGGAUUUUAAACUUGGUUUUUUAGAGAGAAAUUUUUGAUUUUGGAAAUUCUUUACUGGAUUUGGACUUGAAUUUUGUUUUUGGAUUUGUUAAGAAAUGUUUAGGUUGUAAUAUUUGUGAAGAUCUAGAGAGUUAUAAUCCAUUGUCAAAAUACUUGUCAAAACUCUACAAUGUUAUCUAUUCCUAAAGUGAAACUUAAGCUCGCAAAAUAAUCUGGCUUUUUCUCUAUAAUGGGUGUAAAAAUUUUCAAUACACUGCCCAUAGAGAUACGGUGAACAGGUUCAGUCGCAAAAUUUUAGGAAUAGAGUCAGUAGUCAUUUUUAAUUGCAAAUAAUUUUUAUUAUUUUGAUAUUUUUAUAAUUUUGUUUUUCGAUGAUAAUUACACUAAUCGUAUGUUUGUCCCUUGAUUCGUCUACCUAAACACUCCUAUCUGAAGUCUUUUAAGAGUGGUAUUAGAAAGAAUACCUGUCUCUCUUCCCUGCUUUGCUAUUGCCCUAUAAUUUUUUUGUACGCUUCCCUUAUUGAAAAAUAUCAAAAAGGAAAAAAUGAUUAGUUUAGUUUACAGACUAAAGUGUUAUUCAAUUUUUUGUUUUUCUAUGUUAUUUGUUUCAGUCACAAUGUAUAUUUUACAUGAUUUUUUGUUAUAUAUAUGUAUGUCUUUAUCGGUUUCUUUAUCAGGACACACAAUUAUAGCAGUAAUUUAUUACUAAAGUGUAAAUCUUUAUGAUAAAUAAAUAAAUUACUCUUUGAAGCUUGUUUGAAUUAUUGACAUAAUAAGUUCCAUAGAAGAAAAAGCUCUGGCAAUUAACUCAACUAUUACUCAGUCCACAAGAAGUCAGUCAGCUGCCUCACACUAAGUUCUAAAAAAUCCUCAUACGUUGUAAGCGGCAUAAUUCGAUCGUAAAAAUAUGUUUAAAGUUGAUUAAAUAUAUCACUUCAGCGUUAAAAUAAUAAUAAAAGACACUCAGUAUCCCUACGUCCUACACGUGUAUUUAAUUGCUAUUUCUAAUUAAUUAAUAGAUCAAAUCAAUAUGCUUAAAUAAAUGUUGUCUGGUGCUAUCCCCUGUUACUUAGAUAAAAACAUACGAAGACCUAGACACGCUAAGAGUGUAUACAAAACUUGUUUCUUUUUGUGUGUUUUAAGAGAGUUUUCUACUAUGGCAUAUAGGGUUCAAAGUUCAACUUAUAUCAAUGUAUCCCAAAGGUACAUAAAAACAAUGGCAAACUGCAAACAUUACCACAAGAAACUUGUGUGAAAGUUUGUUUCCAUAGAAAAGCUGCAUUAUUGCGAAGCAAUUGAGCUUCGCGAGUGAAGCGAAAUUGUGGAGCACGUUUGCUACGCGAAGUAUACCAAGAGAAUUAUUGAGAUUCUCAAAAUUUCGAUAGAAAAAAAAAAUCAUAUAAAAUCAGAUAUGACUGGUAUUUUUUCAAGAAAAGGUAGGUUAUUUUUUUGUCUAAUAGAACAAAUAAGUUUGGACCAAUCAGCUCUUUUAAAUGUUAGCUAAAAAUGCCAAUAAAUAGGCUUUGUACCCCCCUACCCCCGUUAUUUCCCGAUUUUCCAUUUACCGGAAGCAAAAGACUGGGAAGUACACUCAAGCAAUCAGUAACUGGCUAUCGGCUAAUUUGAAUUAUCGUGUAUCUUACAGACCUAACACAAAUACAUAGUUUAUACCAAGUCCUAAUAAUAAUUGGCUUGGCUGGCAUGCUAUUUCUCUUAAUAUUUGGACUUGGAAAGGUUGUAUAUACCUUUUAAAGGCACAUUAUAUUAAUUUGAAUGUUUAUAAUGCACAAAAACGUGUUAUAUUUAUGGCUUCAUUAAAAAGAAGAUUUUAAAGUACCAAAUUAUCAGCUUGAAUUGGCAUGUUUGUGGUAUCCUUUUCAUACAGCAGAAGAAAAGUGAGUUGCGAAGAUUGCGUACAAUGAGAGCGAGAGAUGUUAUCUUUCAAUACGUGAGAUAAAAAGAAGAAAGCCAAACCUCAUCCCGCGUUGUUAUUGUUUUUCUGUCAAAAACUUGAAGCUGUUUUAUAAAUCUUGAUAAAGUUAAUAAAUUGUUUUCGUUUCUCUA